This is a long non-coding RNA of Pelmatolapia mariae (spotted tilapia), 380 nucleotides long. RefSeq lists it as uncharacterized. The transcript has 3 exons. NCBI's taxonomy places the organism in Eukaryota, Metazoa, Chordata, Actinopteri, Cichliformes, Cichlidae. The record is from RefSeq and is a predicted model, not a curated record.
UAAUAUUAUAAUUUUAGAUUAAAACUGUGGAAAACUAUAAAAAGUUUCUGACCAAAACAAUGGCAGCAUCAUUACAAAUCAUCUGCUUAAUAACAGCUGCUGUGAGCUUUUUGUCUGUAAUGGGAAACAAGGACAGACGUGUCAACAUUAACUGCUACAACAAACCAGUGAACCAGACCACAUUUCUUGGCGCCUCGGCUACCAUCAACUGCAACUAUACAAGAGUAAAAGAAAGUGGAAUUAAAUCCUUUUGUAGAGAAAUUGCAAGUUCUUAUUGCAAUAAUCUGAUAUCAGCUUAUGACUCAAAUUACACCAGACUAGACAGAUUUUCUCUCAGAGAUGAUAAACAGCAAAGAGUCUACACUGUGAUCAUUUCUGCA